UACGAAGGGGGCUAGCGUUGCUCGGAAUCACUGGGCGUAAAGCGCACGUAGGCGGAUGUGUCAGUCAGGGGUGAAAUCCCGGAGCUCAACUUCGGAACUGCCUUUGAUACAGCACGUCUUGAGUCCGGAAGAGGUGGGUGGAAUUCCUAGUGUAGAGGUGAAAUUCGUAGAUAUUAGGAAGAACACCGGCGGCGAAGGCGGCCCACUGGUCCGGUACUGACGCUGAGGUGCGAAAGCGUGGGGAGCAAACAGG
RNAcentral lists this ribosomal RNA (253 nucleotides) under uncultured bacterium. Its description in RNAcentral is "partial 16S ribosomal RNA". It matches the Rfam family "Bacterial small subunit ribosomal RNA", at positions 524 to 776 of the family's 1533-position model. The record is from RNAcentral.